GUGGAAUAAUCGCAGGGAGUGUUCACAACCAGGCCAACAGAUUAGACUUGGAUCGAGGCCGUGAGGCUAGAGCUUGAUAAGGUUGGACAGGGGUAAUGACAACGACCUCCUGUUUCCGGGGAGCACUGAGCGCUGGAGGGUGUUCGAGAUGCUUACUCUCUUAAGUGGGGUGAACAUGCUCUUUGAAAUGUCGCCUACCGCCCGCACAGGAACUCGGGGCUGAUGACUUGAAAUCAUGGGGUGAAGUGAGAGACGCCUCGCCGUCUUGACAGUGUGAGAGCCUGUUGCGGGGCACGAACUCCUCCCUGAGUGAACCUGUGUCCCCGCGCACCCGAGCCGCGUCAGGACAGGAUAUCAUCAGCUGGUUUUUCCCUAUUUUCCACCCAUAAAGAGAUGCCUGGCUCUUCCCUACUCAGUGUGGUGCUUGGGGACCGGCUGAUGGCCUUGCUGGGAGCCUGCUUCGGGAGCUUUAAGGAAAUAAUUGCCUUUAGGAUAGACAUCUGGAUGCUUUUAAAAAAUAGCAGCAUUUGGAAGAGCUGAGAGACAAAGUGCCGGGAAGCGGCCUUGAAGAUGUGUGUGCCCGACAUGCUGAAGCGUGAUGUGUUUUUUGUGCUAAUGUGUGCCUCUGAACUUCUUUAAAAUGCCAAAUUAUUCUCUUCUGGGAGGGAUGCAAUCAGUUCUCUGCUGACUAUUAUAAAAAAUGUAGAUAAAAGCAAAAUUUCAAAUGCUGUUCUACAAAAAUUAUUGCAUCAUCUCUGGCUC
This 762-nucleotide long non-coding RNA is filed under the name Zalophus californianus (California sea lion). RNAcentral's name for it is "lncRNA (ENSZCAG00015017167.1)". Lineage: Eukaryota; Metazoa; Chordata; Mammalia; Carnivora; Otariidae. The record is from RNAcentral.